Molecule: long non-coding RNA, 1891 nt
Organism: Leopardus geoffroyi (Geoffroy's cat)
Lineage: Eukaryota; Metazoa; Chordata; Mammalia; Carnivora; Felidae
Exons: 4
Source: RefSeq, a predicted model, not a curated record
AACUCUGAGGACUGCAGGGUGGAGGGGGUGAGGAAGCCAUAAGAUGGAGGGAUCCUAAGCCCCUGAGUCACAAGUUGGAGAAGAGCUGUGCAGAAGAGCCUCAUGAACAGGAACAGCCAUGUUGGACUGUGCAUCUAGCAAAACACAUGGAACAUUGUAAGAGCUCAACAAAUUGGUAGUAGGAGACAAGAGAGUGUGUAUCUGAAAGAGAAGAAACAAGGUGUCCCUUCUGUGAGGGCACUCACUCUCCAAAGAAAAACACGUAUUACAAGGUGCCCUCUGGAUUGGAGAGAGGAAAUACCCAGUCUCAAGGCUUUUAUCCAAGAAGAGCAGGAACCUUUGAUCUUGUCUGGAGCCCAAAGGAUCUAAGGAUGGAGUGAAGACAGACAAGAGUCUGGCAAAGUCUCGACUGGGUGCGCUUAUUCAAAGCAUGUCUGGGAUGAAGUCUCUCCAGUACUGGAUUUGCCAGACCACUCCAGCCUAGGGCCAGGGCAAGCAGGAUUUCAGAACGGUUGCCUGUUUAUUCUACCAUGUUGUGUUCAGGGAGUGACCAGCCAACUGGUCUAUUUGCCCAAAGAGAUUCAACCCAACCACAGCCACCCUCCUCCAGGCGCUUUGGCUGCUCCCUUAAGAACCUCCCUUCCUUGCCUGCUGGGUGGAACUGGUCCUGACUGCUUUUAUUUUUCCAAACUCCUCUGUGCAUAAACAGGAUGUUUGGAAAAGCUCAAGAUGGCCAGGGGUCUGCUGAGUUGGCCCUUGAUUCUCACUUGGAGGGCAGUGUUGGGCAACAUCAGUGGAAUUGCUUCUGCCUGGAUGUUGCCCAGAAUAGCUAAAUCCUCUCCUCCCCCCAACCUUCUCACUCCCUCUCUUUUUCUCUCCCUUAGAGAACUUGGCUACAGGGAGUUCACACUGGUAGGAAUGAGGUAGAAGAGUUGCCUUCACUUUCUAAGGGUGUUUCCUAUGAGGGUAUUAAGAAAUAUCCCUGCUCCCAAAGGGUGCAAGGAAGAAAAGUGAAGCCAGUAGGUGGGAAACUUACUCCCUUUACAGAGCUCUUCUCAAGACCCUAAGGGCUAGGGUAGGACCCUAAAGAAAAAUCCGCCAUAGAAAACAGCCUACCCAUGAUUAAAGGUCCAGUGGACAAAGUGUUUAUGAGUAAAGACCCCUUACUCACCCCUCCUGACUGAACAAAAGAUACACAAGAUCAAGUUAACCCACUGGAACUAAGUUAAUCCUAGGUGCAAACGUCUUAACAUCUGAGCAUGGGUAGAGGCAAGGAAAACUGCAGGCAGAGAGAGAAAGCCAAAGCCUUCUGGCAGGGAGGGGAAUAAGAACAGAGGCAAAUGCAGAUAGAGGCCUUUUCUCAGGGUGCUCUCACAGCCUCCCUGCCUGACCAAUUCCCAGGCUUAGCUAUCAGUGUUUUUACACCGAGCCACUACUUGCCAUUGCCAGAGUUCCCUGAGAGCUACCCAGCACCAUGCAGCCUCCUGCCCCAGCUACUGGGGACAAACAUAGUCCUCUGCCAACCCCUGCUCCUUUCACCACCCUGCAGGAUAUGCUGCCCUGAUGACCCCAUCCUAAGACAUGCAGGUACCACUGUUGGUACCCACACAAGCACACCUCCAGCCACAACAUUCCCGCAGCAUCCUUCAUCACCCAAACUGGCUCUGCAGUCACCACCCUUGUUGCUAUUGAACCAAUGCUUUUCUGCCCCCUUAAUCUAUGUCCCCUGUUCCUUGAGUCUUGUUGGACAAUUCAGGAGUCAAGAGUUCCAGCUGUAGCUGAGAUUUUGCAGCCAACCACACAGCACAUGUGCACACAGACAUGAGAAGAAAAGACUCCUGGGAAAGUUGAUUUUGUGGAAGACACUUAAAAACACUUGGCAAAUUUUCAA